Molecule: transfer RNA, 74 nt
Filed under: Enterococcus faecium
Lineage: Bacteria; Bacillati; Bacillota; Bacilli; Lactobacillales; Enterococcaceae
Also listed under: 1 other name
Description: tRNA-Ile
Rfam family: tRNA
About the family: Transfer RNA (tRNA) molecules are approximately 80 nucleotides in length. Their secondary structure includes four short double-helical elements and three loops (D, anti-codon, and T loops). Further hydrogen bonds mediate the characteristic L-shaped molecular structure. tRNAs have two regions of fundamental functional importance: the anti-codon, which is responsible for specific mRNA codon recognition, and the 3' end, to which the tRNAs corresponding amino acid is attached (by aminoacyl-tRNA synthetases). tRNAs cope with the degeneracy of the genetic code in two manners: having more than one tRNA (with a specific anti-codon) for a particular amino acid; and 'wobble' base-pairing, i.e. permitting non-standard base-pairing at the 3rd anti-codon position.
Source: RNAcentral
GUACCUUUAGCUCAGUUGGUUAGAGCAGACGGCUCAUAACCGUCCGGUCGUAGGUUCGAGUCCUACAAGGUCCA